AGGACGUGAUAAGGGCAUUUACUAAGAAGUUCUUUAAAUCUCUCUCAUUAUUCUAAAAUAAACUUAUUAUCUAACUAGGUAAAAGAUGUGAUGUCAUUUCUAAGCAU
Molecule: small nucleolar RNA, 107 nt
Organism: Dendrobium catenatum
Lineage: Eukaryota; Viridiplantae; Streptophyta; Magnoliopsida; Asparagales; Orchidaceae
Source: RefSeq, a predicted model, not a curated record